Non-coding RNA from Salvia hispanica, 1583 nucleotides. The record is from RefSeq and is a predicted model, not a curated record. Lineage: Eukaryota; Viridiplantae; Streptophyta; Magnoliopsida; Lamiales; Lamiaceae.
GAGGCCCAAUAUACUCCCUUCCCCAUCGUGAUUUCCUCUUCUAAAAUCCCUAAAUUGCAAAAACUGUACAACAGCUUCUUCUUCCUCUCUUCCCUUGGUGAAAUCGCCACUCCGACGAUUCCACGCCGGUCGCCGGAGAAUCCACGCACGGAGUAACCUUUCUUUUUCACGGAUCGGGUUUCCCUUCGACUCAUCCAUACUCUCUUUCAUCUUCGGCGAACUCGCCGCGGAGUUUCCGCCGUCGCCGCACGGCUGAGGCCUCGCCGCUCCCCGACGCGGUGGAACAGCCGCUGCUGUCCCGGUUAGGGAGAAGGCGUCGCCUUUCCCUUCCUCCGGUUCCUCUAUCUCUUGCGAAAUCGUCGCCGUCUCCGGAGGAAAUAGUCACCGCCGUGGUUGUACUCCGUCGUUGGAGGUGUUACCGUGCGCGGCAGCCCCUUUCUCGGCCUCUACAGGCUCGCCAAUCGCUGCCCGUCUCGCCAUCCGGCUCUCCGUCAAGCUGCAGCUUCGCCUGCGGCAAAACUCCACUGCUACUCGUCGCCUUCCAUCGACGUCACGGAGGAACUCUCCGCCUCCCGUCGCACCACCGCCGGACAAUCUCUCUAUAAGCUAAGUUUUCUGCCUUCUUUUGCUUAGCUCAAUUCGUGGGUUUAUUUAGCAACCUAUGUAAAUUCGAUUCUUGACUAUUGGUGAUGUUCAAGCUUUGAUCUUGUGAGAGUUUGAUUAUUGAGUCCAUUAAUUGGGUUUGUGGCAGAAGCUUUAUGUUGUGAUUCUUGGCAGAAAAAAAAAAUGCUUAGUCUUGUGGAAAUUCCUAUAGCAAGUCUAAGUUCUUGCAUUUGAUUACUGUGGUGAAAACUUGGUUGUUGAGCAAAGGUGUUGUUGUUCUAUGCUUAUACUAAAUCUUUUAUUAGUUAACAGCCGCGGGGGGAGAAGGGUUGGAGGUGGAAUACCUCUUGAAGCUGCGGCUGCCUUGAGAAUUCAGCUCUUAAACCUCAGCUUUCUUCCUCUCAAACUUGCUAUGUUGCUGGAAAAUUUGAAGUUGUGUAGGAGAGUGUUCAAAGGUGGCGUGGACGGGGUUUUUAUAGGUUGAUCUUGGUGUACUAUGGGGAAUUAAAUGGCUGUUGCUGCAGUUUUGGUUUUACAUAACAGCAAGAUCUCUUAUGAUUCAUUUUUGUAGCAUUCUAAUUCAAGUUGUUUUGGUUUCAUUUGAUGGUACUUGGUACUUAGCCAUUAAAUUCUUUGUUUGUUCUUGCAUGAGAUGCCAAGAGAAUGCAGGAGGCUGCCUUGAGAGGAGGAGGAAAGCUGGCUUUGACUUGCCCUAAAUGUCUUGUAGGUGAGAAAGGAAGGUGUGGCUGUUGUGUUGUUCUCAGGCUCGGCCCGCUCCCUUCGGCCCGACGGACUGCUCAAAGAUGGGCUAUAGUUCGGGCCUGGAGAAGAGGCCCGAAGUGCAUCAAAAAUUUAUCCUUAGUUUUCUUUCUUUGAAGCCUUUGAUCCUCGUAAACUUUUGAAGUUAGUUAAUAGUUUAUUGGAUAUGUAAAGCUAUUCGAAAAUUCUUUAUAUUCCAUAAUGUAUUUUAGUUUGUUUUA